This is a non-coding RNA of Pocillopora verrucosa, 485 nucleotides long. The record is from RefSeq and is a predicted model, not a curated record. Lineage: Eukaryota; Metazoa; Cnidaria; Anthozoa; Scleractinia; Pocilloporidae.
CUUUUAUCAAGAAGGGAGUUUAGGCACUGAGAACGAAUCAAACAGGAUCUAUAAAGGCGUAGUUGAAAACACCUUUCAUUAUUUCGAGUUCGAGACUUGAGGAAAGCAUCUCAUCUGAAAGUCACAAGUUUCGGGAAAAAGAAACAGAGCAGAAAUGAAUUCCCUUUGGAUAACUACUUGGCUGCUCGCGGGUGUAUUUGUUUCAGCGCUGGCCACGGAGGACAGAAAGCUGGAGAAGAGGCAAGCCGAAUGUGACCCUUCGAAGAAAGACAAAGUCAUGGUGUUACCAGGUCCCAUCACGGAUUAUGCAAUGAUAGAAAACGCUUUCGUAUACGAUCUGCAUGCUGUUUCAAUCUGCAUGAUUGCACAGUGGAAUCCUAACCAUGUCGAGCCCAGUGAUAAUCAAUGUGUGUUCAGCUACGCUGUCCCAGGAUCAGACAAUGAAUUGACUCUUUGCUCAUAUCCUACUUUCCGAGUGCUUAUCC